Long non-coding RNA from Tachysurus fulvidraco (yellow catfish), 543 nucleotides. RefSeq lists it as uncharacterized. The record is from RefSeq and is a predicted model, not a curated record. NCBI's taxonomy places the organism in Eukaryota, Metazoa, Chordata, Actinopteri, Siluriformes, Bagridae. The transcript has 2 exons.
UUUUGCUUCAUCACUUUCUUCCCAGCCUUUUCGUAGACCUUUCUCUCCAUUAUGGAGCCUGAUGAAGAAGAAUGUAUGACCAAAAUAUAGCAUUUGCAGAGGCGACUUAUUUAAUGCAGAGUGAUUUAUCACAGGCUACAGCAGAGAAAACCCAACACUGGCCAUAACGCACCCUCUGAGCCCCUCCUUCACUCCAGCGUCUCAGGAUGGGAACACUGCCAGUCCACCGUGUAGGGGCAACGCCAUCGCUGUACUCACCAUCCCAGCGCCCAAAUAUCACUCCACGGUCAUCGUUUGAAUUCACCUGACAAACAGAUGCAUUUGACCCGUUUAACUUUUGGCAGUGAUACUGUCAAAUAUUUUGGCACACAGUGUCAUUUAUGAUCAGGAACAAUGUAUUAUAUGUAUGUAUAAAUAUGUAUGUAUAAUCUGUUCAAAUUGUAGUUAACAGUAAUAGUUUCAUCCACAGUUACAUCUCUAUUUAUAAGUAUAUUGUCAGACUGUAUGAAGGAGCAGUAGAUUAUUAAAAUUGAGUGAAAUGUU